UUGCUGCCUUUGAGUCCCAUCACGCCUGCGCGCGGCGCCUGGGGUCGAGCUAUGGUGCUAGAGCGCGUGCUCGCGCAUGGCUGGGGCCGCCUACCGCUCGCGGGCGGUCCUGUCAACCGCGAGCGACAAGG
Molecule: small nucleolar RNA, 131 nt
Organism: Dipodomys spectabilis (banner-tailed kangaroo rat)
Lineage: Eukaryota; Metazoa; Chordata; Mammalia; Rodentia; Heteromyidae
Source: RefSeq, a predicted model, not a curated record